AUAUCAAUAAGCGGAGGAAAAGAAACCAACAGGGAUUGCCUCAGUAACGGCGAGUGAAGCGGCAACAGCUCAAAUUUGAAAUCUGGCUCUUUCAGGGUCCGAGUUGUAAUUUGUAGAAGAUGCUUCGGGUGUGGCUCCGGUCUAAGUUCCUUGGAACAGGACGUCAUAGAGGGUGAGAAUCCCGUAUGUGACUGGGUGCCUUCGCUCAUGUGAAGCUCUUUCGACGAGUCGAGUUGUUUGGGAAUGCAGCUCAAAAUGGGUGGUAAAUUUCAUCUAAAGCUAAAUAUUGGCCAGAGACCGAUAGCGCACAAGUAGAGUGAUCGAAAGAUGAAAAGCACUUUGGAAAGAGAGUUAAACAGUACGUGAAAUUGUUGAAAGGGAAGCGCUUGCAACCAGACUUGCGCGCGGCCGAUCAUCCGGUGUUCUCACCGGUGCACUCGGCCGUGCUCAGGCCAGCAUCGGUUUUGGCGGCUGGAUAAAGGCCCUAGGAAUGUAGCUCCUCUCGGGGAGUGUUAUAGCCUAGGGUGCAAUGCAGCCUGCUGGGACCGAGGACCGCGCUUCGGCUAGGAUGCUGGCGUAAUGGUUGUAAGCGG
This 593-nucleotide ribosomal RNA is filed under the name uncultured fungus. Its description in RNAcentral is "eukaryotic LSU rRNA". It matches the Rfam family "Eukaryotic large subunit ribosomal RNA", at positions 40 to 647 of the family's 3401-position model. Lineage: Eukaryota; Fungi. The record is from RNAcentral.